This 792-nucleotide long non-coding RNA is filed under the name Chrysemys picta bellii (western painted turtle). Its description in RNAcentral is "lncRNA (ENSCPBG00000001620.1)". Lineage: Eukaryota; Metazoa; Chordata; Testudines; Emydidae. The record is from RNAcentral.
UAACUCUGUACUUGUACGUAGGCUGGUUCUUGCUAGAAAAAUUAACAGCCUCGUGUCCUAGAGGCACAAGAGGGAAAUGAAUACAGCAUGAUGCAAAUCAGGACACACGCAGUUACUCUCGGCAGAGGAAAUGGCUACGGUAGCUGGAACGCUUCACCCAGUGAGUGGCUGAGACAACAGAUGAUUGUGGAUGGGAACUGUAUAUAAGGAUGGGGACUAGCAAUGAAUUUCCCAACAGGCCAAUUUCCAUAAAGAACAAAAAACCAACCCAGCUCAGUUCUGCGGUUUCCCAAUUGAGGAAUUUCACAACUUGGCCAGCAGAGGGCAUGGAGUGGAAUUUAUCCCAGGGAGUGUGGGAGCUCUGAAGGAAGGCGUGUCAGCAGGAAAAAAAUCAGACCGCAGAGAUGAUAAAGAACAACAACAAUAUAACACUGUUAUCAUUGCAACACGCCUUCAUUUUCACUCAUGCAUCUGCUCGCUCUGUGCAGGCCAACAGCUAUUUGUGCAUGCAAAUCCAAUAACCAACGAGCAAUGUGGAAAUGCAAAGCAAGUGUCUGCCCAUUCAUGCCAGCAACAGCAAAUGUGAACGUGUAAAAAGGGAGGCAAAAAUUGUUGGUGGAAAAUACAGGGCUGGUGCUACCAUUAAGGCAAACCAGGCGGUUGCCUAGGGUGCCAAGAUUUGGGGGCGCCAAAAAGUGGUGCCCCAAAUUUUUUUUACAGUGUUCCUACGCCCCCGCCCCGAGCGCGCGGUCGCCACUCCACUUCUCCCACCUCCCAGGCUUGCAGCGCCAA